This 497-nucleotide ribosomal RNA is filed under the name uncultured bacterium. RNAcentral describes it as "partial 16S ribosomal RNA". It matches the Rfam family "Bacterial small subunit ribosomal RNA", at positions 28 to 507 of the family's 1533-position model. The record is from RNAcentral.
GAUGAACGCUGGCGGCGUGCCUAAUACAUGCAAGUCGAGCGAACAGACGAGGAGCUUGCUCCUCUGACGUUAGCGGCGGACGGGUGAGUAACACGUGGAUAACCUACCUAUCAGACUGGGAUCACUUCGGGAAACCGGAGCUAAUACCGGAUAAUAUAUUGAACCGCAUGGUUCAAUAGUGAAAGACGGUUUUGCUGUCACUUAUAGAUGGAUCCGCGCCGCAUUAGCUAGUUGGUAAGGUAACGGCUUACCAAGGCAACGAUGCGUAGCCGACCUGAGAGGGUGAUCGGCCACACGGGAACUGAGACACGGUCCAGACUCCUACGGGAGGCAGCAGUAGGGAAUCUUCCGCAAUGGGCGAAAGCCUGACGGAGCAACGCCGCGUGAGUGAUGAAGGUCUUCGGAUCGUAAAACUCUGUUAUUAGGGAAGAACAAAUGUGUAAGUAACUAUGCACGUCUUGACGGUACCUAAUCAGAAAGCCACGGCUAACUACGUG